AUACGUAGGUGGCGAGCGUUGUCCGGAAUUACUGGGUGUAAAGGGUGCGUAGGCGGACUUGUAAGUCAGGCGUGAAAACUAUCGGCUCAACCGAUAGCCUGCGUUUGAAACUGCGAGUCUUGAGUGGUGAAGAGGUAAGCGGAAUUCCUAGUGUAGCGGUGAAAUGCGUAGAUAUUAGGAGGAACACCAGUGGCGAAGGCGGCUUACUGGACGAUAACUGACGUUGAGGCUCGAAAGCGUGGGGAGC
This 247-nucleotide ribosomal RNA is filed under the name uncultured bacterium. RNAcentral describes it as "partial 16S ribosomal RNA". It matches the Rfam family "Bacterial small subunit ribosomal RNA", at positions 523 to 769 of the family's 1533-position model. The record is from RNAcentral.